This is a long non-coding RNA of Rhododendron vialii, 1234 nucleotides long. RefSeq lists it as uncharacterized. The record is from RefSeq and is a predicted model, not a curated record. Lineage: Eukaryota; Viridiplantae; Streptophyta; Magnoliopsida; Ericales; Ericaceae. The transcript has 2 exons.
GGACUUGAUAUGCUGUGUUAAUGAUAUGUUCAAACAAACAUCACCAUUUUGAUUGAUUUUGCUAUAAAUUGGGCUAUAGAAGCAGAUGAAUUUUUAUUUUUUGUUUUGGAGAGAUGGGUUUGUUGGGAGAGAAAUGAAGUUUGCCGAUAAAAAGGAUAGAAAUGGAGUUUGACGAGAGAGGGAGAGAAGGUGGGAACUGGGUCUGUAGUCAAAGAAAGAGAUAUGGGAAUGAUUAAUUGGAAAAAAACGAAAAGGGACGAGGUCUAUGUAGGGUCGCCGUUUAGUUGGUUUUGUUCAAACGACAUUGUUGGAUUUAAAGUUUAUAGGUUGCAAGACAUGCCUGGUUUUUUGCCCUUGGAUGAGUUAGUUUGUGUGUUGUCGCCCUUCAUCCAAACCUUGACAUGAUCAUUACAGGGAAAAUCAUGAGAGAGGAUCCGCAACUGAGGGCCUAAGCUGUCCUACCCUUCUGAUUAUCAGAUGCAACACUUCACCUUCAAAAUGGAAACCUAUUCUGCCUGGUUUGUUUAGAUUUAAUGUCACCGGAUCUUCUCCUAGCUAGGUCUUGCUGGUGUAGCUGGAAUUUUCUGAAUUAUGAGUGCCAUGAAGAGAUCACUAAAGCGCAAGACCUUCUAGAGGAUAGUCAGCAUUUGCUGCAUUUAAGUUCUGCAAAGUGACGUUUUUGGCUUACAAGUGAGAUUAACAUUGCAACUGAUGAGUUAGCUAAGAUGGAACAAGAACAAUAUAAGCCGUAAAUGGUAACUUUCUAUUUUUUGGUCCACUUUUUGAAUGUUACAACUGUUGGUUACAUAUAUCAAGGGGGCUAUGUCUCUAUAGGCACUUUGUUACUAUCAAACUUCUGAAACUUCCCUUUUGCUUAAUAUAAGCCACGUUUUGUUCGUUGGCUGUAUGGAUUUGUAUAAAUGGUAAAAUCCUCACUUGGCUUCGGCAUACCUUUAGAAAUAUAUGUCAAGACAGCGAGUGUUCUAGAUGCCAGAUGCAUGUAGAGGAUAUGCACCAUUUAUUCAUUGGUUGGUGCUUUGAUUUGAGACUUUUGGACUAACUUCACAGUUUCAGCUUCGAGGGACACUAAACAGUUACAGGAAGCCAGAACCCAUGAUUAGAAGGAAGCCUUGGAAUGUUUUUUAUGUGUUGUUCUUCUAUGAUAGUUAUGGUUGAGUAGAAACAAAAGAAAAGUGUUUGACAAUCUGGACAGCGCUAAGCACAAAACUGAGAC